RNAcentral lists this long non-coding RNA (403 nucleotides) under Bos taurus (domestic cattle). RNAcentral's name for it is "long non-coding RNA NONBTAT004219". The record is from RNAcentral. Lineage: Eukaryota; Metazoa; Chordata; Mammalia; Artiodactyla; Bovidae.
GGAUGUGACAAAAGCGACACAGAACAGGAAAGGAAAACCAACAAGUGUGAUAAAUUCUGUGGUAGCACUUGAAUUAGGAUCUCUACUAGAACUGAAACACUAAGACGAAUUCCACUGCACUCUCCUCCACACACACUGGUAGUGACACAUCAAUACCAGAGCAAUACAGAAAGCGGAAUUACCACUUAUAACAUCACCAAUUGUCACGUGUUCUGAAUCUGAAGCACAGUUCAUGACACAAUCUCUGAAAAUUCUUCACAAGUACUGAAUGAAAAGGUGUUGGGUAUAUUAAGAGACUACAAAUAAACUGUCCAUCACGUGGGACUUCUCAGGUAAAAUGGAGUUGUUCUGAAAUGUAGAUAUUUUUUAUUCUUUAACAGGACCUUAUUUUGCCUUUUAUGUA